RNAcentral lists this ribosomal RNA (468 nucleotides) under uncultured bacterium. Its description in RNAcentral is "partial 16S ribosomal RNA". It matches the Rfam family "Bacterial small subunit ribosomal RNA", at positions 28 to 507 of the family's 1533-position model. The record is from RNAcentral.
GACGAACGCUGGCGGCGUGCUUAACACAUGCAAGUCGAACGGUGAAGGUCCAGAUUGCUCUAGUAUAUAAGUGGCUAACGAACGGGUAACUAGCGCGCAACCUACCUGUGACUCUGGAAUAAACACUAGAAACGGCGGCUAAUAAUGGCUGCGAACAGGGUCCGCAUGGGCUCUUUCUUGGAAGUUAUUCGGUUUGGGCAGGGCUCGUGGCCUAUCAGCUUGUGGGUGAGGCAAUGGCUCACCAAGGCGACGACGGGGAGCCGGCCUGAGAGGGAGACAAGCCCCAGUGGCACUCAGACGCCGGCCAGACUCCUACGGGAGGAAGCAGCGAGGAAUUUUGCAAAAUGGGCGAAAGCCUGAUGCAGCGACGCCGCGUGAGGGAUGACGGCCUUCCGGUUGUAAACCUCUUUCAGCAGGGAAGAAGAGAAAGUGACGGUACCUGAAUAAGAAGCACCGGCUAACUACGUG